RNAcentral lists this ribosomal RNA (468 nucleotides) under uncultured bacterium. RNAcentral describes it as "partial 16S ribosomal RNA". It matches the Rfam family "Bacterial small subunit ribosomal RNA", at positions 28 to 507 of the family's 1533-position model. The record is from RNAcentral.
GACGAACGCUGGCGGCGUGCUUAACACAUGCCAGUCGAACGGAAAGGCCCUGCUUUUGUGGGGUGCUCGAGUGGCGAACGGGUGAGUAACACGUGAGUAACCUGCCCUUGACUUUGGGAUAACUUCAGGAAACUGGGGCUAAUACCGGAUAGGAGCUCCUGCUGCAUGGUGGGGGUUGGAAAGUUUCGGCGGUUGGGGAUGGACUCGCGGCUUAUCAGCUUGUUGGUGGGGUAGUGGCUUACCAAGGCUUUGACGGGUAGCCGGCCUGAGAGGGUGACCGGCCACAUUGGGACUGAGAUACGGCCCAGACUCCUACGGGAGGCAGCAGUGGGGAAUAUUGCACAAUGGGCGGAAGCCUGAUGCAGCAACGCCGCGUGCGGGAUGACGGCCUUCGGGUUGUAAACCGCUUUCGCCUGUGACGAAGCGUGAGUGGCGGUAAUGGGUAAAGAAGCACCGGCUAACUACGUG